GGAAAAGUUUCCAUUGGUAGGGUAGGGUACUUGCUAUGUACUGUGUUUUUUACACUUAGGUGUUCGAAUCACCUCUUUUCCG
Molecule: transfer RNA, 82 nt
Filed under: Grosmannia fruticeta
Lineage: Eukaryota; Fungi; Ascomycota; Sordariomycetes; Ophiostomatales; Ophiostomataceae
Description: tRNA-Ser
Source: RNAcentral